GUCAAGUCAUGUCACAAGCAAUACACGUGACGUUAUAAGAUGAGAGAGGGAGCCUUCACCACACACCGCUCUCAACUCAUUCUGAGUUCGCUCCCAAGUGGAAACGGCUCUGUGCCCUAAAGAGAUCUACCGGGAAUCAAUGGUUCAACCUGGUUGAUCAUGACGGAGAUGGUCGCAUUACAGGUCACGAAGCGACUAAGUUCUUCGCCAUGUCCAAGCUUUCUCGACAAGAACUCAAGCAGGUUUUUUAAGUUUCAUUUUAGGCGCUGAUAGUUAUUUUCCAUUUCGGUGCUUUUAGUUUAUGAUUUUGUUUGUUUUCUAGCCUAAACUGUUAUACUCGACUUGGCAAGUAAAGAGUAUUUGGUUUUAUCCUUAGAUCGGUAGUUUUUGGAAGCUAAUUUGUUUGUCUUGUAUUUCGUAUCUUACACUCUGUUCUUAAUUUUAUUUAUUUAUUUCGUAUCUUAUUUUUCUUCUUCUUUUAGUCUAAAAUGUUAUUAUCUUCGUUCCAGCAUAUUCAAGAAGUCUAGCUAAAACUCAUUUUCUAUUUUUAGGUUUGGGCCAUUGCUGAUGAAAAGGGGCAGGGCUUCUUAGCUUUCGUUUUUGCAGUGAAGGUGAUUUUAGGAUAUUCUUUCCUUUUUCUUUUUUUGGUGCUGAUAUGUUUAUUGUAAUAGAAUCUUACCUUCAUCUGUGUUCGAAUUGGAUAGUUGAUUUCCUUUGCACAAGAACAUGAACUAACCCUAGACAUCCUCAGAACAGAAGGCAAGUGGAAGAUAUUUGUUAAUUAAUACUUCCUUUUCUGUUUUUCAUAAAUUCAGAAGCAUACAACAUAUACAAUUGGACCAGGUCUCAUUCAUUGUUAUUUCAAAGCCUUUCCUUGAGGCUGCCAAGAAUGUUAUUCUUUCAGAAGUCUUUAAGCCUUAUUCUUAUUUAAUUGCAGUUGAUUGGGAAAACAUUAAACCUCCAGUUAUGGAAGGUUUGGAUGCUCUGACAGCCGUGAGUAUUUUCCUUUUUCCUACUUCGUGCCUAUGUGGCAUACACUAUGAAUUUCACUUAUUAUUUGCUUGAUUCUCUAUCAACAGGAAAUCAUGAGUUCAGCGACAAAAGGACUUGAAGUAAAAUAAAUAGUUAGAAAAUCCAUCUAACUCUUGCGAAUAUAGUUGUAAUGAUCUUUUACUAGGUUUGUUUGGUGGUAAUGAGGCAGCAAGCAUUCACUCCGAAUCUUGUACGCAGUGGUUUGGUUCAAAACGAAUGAAGAAAGUAAGAUCAGAUGUCCUUUGUCCAUUGGAGAUUAUGUUUUAUUUUGAUUGAUUCACUUUUAAACUGCUGCAGUUUCAUCUUUCCAAAAUCUUUUUAUUGCCAUAUAUAGAUAGUAACUUUAUACUCGUUAAUACCUUUUUUAUUCAGUUGAAUCAUCUCCCUAACCAGUUUCUCUGCUUAUUCAGUUAGAAGUAGUUAGUUUCCCUGUGUUCUAAUUCAUGGAUAUAACAUUGUAUUUGUUGUAGACAUCUAACACUGAAAUUUGGUAACAUGUGUUCAUUGUUUUGCUCCCAAAUCUUUGGUAAAGGUGUUUUUUCUUUGGACAAAAUUUUCUUUUAAUCUACAUAUCAACUUGUUUUUACAUAUUUAUAAAGGUAUGUCUUCUUUUCCUUACUGCCUGACUUGUUCAAGUUGGUUUCUUCAGCUACCACUUGAUGGCGUCACAUCUAUAGUUGAUGGUUUGAAGAUAUUGUACGGAGAAACACUAAGGCCACUGGAACUUACAUAUAAUUUCAAUGAUUUUGUAUCUCCAUCAUUGGUGAGUGUAUUCCCAUAUGUUUUCAUGUAUUUAGUAGGAUAUAUAUGAUUUAGUUAGUUCACCUUAUUAUCCUUCUAACUGCCUUCGUAGCAUAUUGUUUUGUUUAGGUAGAACAUUUGCUAAAUAAUGGCUGAUUUAUUCCUUUGCAGACCGAUGGCGAUUUUGAUGCUAAGCCGAUGGUCUUGCUCUUGGGUCAGUAUUUGACCGGAAAAACUACAUUCGUUAAACAUUUGCUAAAUGUAGCUAUCCAGGUUGGUUAAGUUUUCUCUUUUAUUUUAUUUUCAAAUGAUUAAUGGACAACCAUACCAUACGGCUUACAUUUGCUUUGAACAGGAGCUCAUAUUGGACUAGAACCUGCAAAUGACAGAUUUGUGGUUGUGAUGGUAUAGUUUCUUAUAACCAUGCUUCCUUUCUAAAAACUAAUUUAGUUUGUCAUUGUUUCUUUGUAGUCUUAGGCUUAUUGUGUGUCACAUAGUCUUUGUAAUUCUAAACCUUACUCAAAUUUUUGUACUUAGUCCGGACCUGAUGCAAGAAGGAGCAUACCUGGAAAUACCAUAGCUGUGAAUGCAGACCUUCUUUUCAGUGGUCUAGCAAGUUUUGGAGGCUCAUUUCUGUCAAAAUUUGAGUGUUCUCAAAUGCCUCAUCCGGUGAG
Molecule: long non-coding RNA, 2447 nt
Filed under: Prunus dulcis (almond)
Lineage: Eukaryota; Viridiplantae; Streptophyta; Magnoliopsida; Rosales; Rosaceae
Description: sRNA ncRNA
Source: RNAcentral